AUUGAACGCUGGCGGCAGGCCUAACACAUGCAAGUCGAGCGGAUGAAGGGAGCUUGCUCCUGGAUUCAGCGGCGGACGGGUGAGUAAUGCCUAGGAAUCUGCCUGGUAGUGGGGGAUAACGUCCGGAAACGGGCGCUAAUACCGCAUACGUCCUGAGGGAGAAAGUGGGGGAUCUUCGGACCUCACGCUAUCAGAUGAGCCUAUGUCGGAUUAGCUAGUUGGUGGGGUAAAGGCCUACCAAGGCGACGAUCCGUAACUGGUCUGAGAGGAUGAACAGUCACACUGGAAACUGGACACGGACCAGACACCUACGGGAGGGCGCAGGGGGGAAUAUUGGACAAGUGGGGGAAACCUUACACAGGCCUACCGCGGGGGGGAAGAAAGCCUUCGGGUUGUAAAGGCCUUUUAGUUGGGAAGAAAAGCAGGAAAUUUAAAACCUGCUUGUUUUACGGUACCCAAAAAAAAAGCACCGGCUAACUUUGUG
Molecule: ribosomal RNA, 484 nt
Filed under: uncultured bacterium
Lineage: Bacteria
Description: partial 16S ribosomal RNA
Rfam family: Bacterial small subunit ribosomal RNA
Source: RNAcentral